Molecule: ribosomal RNA, 200 nt
Filed under: uncultured bacterium
Lineage: Bacteria
Description: partial 16S ribosomal RNA
Rfam family: Bacterial small subunit ribosomal RNA
Source: RNAcentral
AUUGAACGCUGGCGGCAGGCCUAACACAUGCAAGUCGAGCGGUUGAGGUAGCUUGCUACCGAUGCAGCGGCGGACGGGUGAGUAAUACAUGGGAAUCUGCCUGGUAGUGGGGGACAACGUUUCGAAAGGAACGCUAAUACCGCAUACGCCCUACGGGGAAAGGGGGGAUCGCAAGACCUCUCGCUAUCAGAUGAGCCCAU